RNAcentral lists this ribosomal RNA (497 nucleotides) under uncultured bacterium. RNAcentral's name for it is "partial 16S ribosomal RNA". It matches the Rfam family "Bacterial small subunit ribosomal RNA", at positions 28 to 507 of the family's 1533-position model. The record is from RNAcentral.
GAUGAACGCUGGCGGCGUGCCUAAUACAUGCAAGUCGAGCGAACGGACGAGAAGCUUGCUUCUCUGAUGUUAGCGGCGGACGGGUGAGUAACACGUGGAUAACCUACCUAUAAGACUGGGAUAACUUCGGGAAACCGGAGCUAAUACCGGAUGAUAUUUUGAACCGCAUGGUUCAAAAGUGAAAGACGGUCUUGCGGUCACUUAUAGAUGGAUCCGCGCUGCAUUAGCUAGUUGGUAAGGUAACGGCUUACCAAGGCAACGAUGCAUAGCCGACCUGAGAGGCUGAUCGGCCACACUGGAACUGAGACGCGGUCCAUGCGCCUACGGGAGGCAGCAGUAGGGAAUCUUCCGCAGUGGGCGAAAGCCUGACGGAGCAACGCCGCGCGAGUGAUGAAGGUCUUCGGAUCGUAAUACUCUGUUAUUAGGUAUGAACAUAUGUGUAAGUAACUGUGCACAUCUUGACGGUACCUAAUCAGAAAGCCACGGCUAACUACGUG